CUCUACAUCAAGCUUGCCGCCCCCUGGUGAGACCGCACCAUUCUAGAUGAGCCACCACUCUCCGAUUAAAGGAACUGCUAAGAGUAAAAAUUUGAUUUCGACAUUUCCAUGGAGAAUCACUGACGAGCCACCACUCUCCGAUUAAAGGAACUGCUAAGAACAAAGUGUGAGGACCUCUCUUACGCCCUGGUAGAGGAAUGCCGCAGAAGAGGAGAAGCAGGAGCGGAGGAGGCAGAGGGAGCAUGAUGCACACCGAUUCGCGUCGGGGGACUUCCGAGACAAACCAUCGUAACUGAUGGUUACAGUGUUUUAUACUGAUAUUCCACGUGUUUUUAGAAAAAAUUUGUUGUAUUUUAUACUAAUCGUUUAUUGUAAGUUCAAUCCAAUUGUAUGAGCAUGUGGUCUCGCGUUUUAUGUGUACGACUGCGGCCAAUUCUCAUUUAAUGCUCAUUCAACUAGAACAACUAGCACUAGAACUAGAACACCUAGCUCUAGAACUAGAACAAAUAGCAGUAGAACUAGAACAAGUAGCUAUAGUACUAGAACAAGUAGCCCUGGAACUAGAACAACUAGCUCUAUAGUAACUAGAGCAACUAGCACCCUGAUUGUAAUCCCAUGCAUGUGCGUUCACGAUUGAAAUGCUUUCAAAUAAAUAUACUCCAAAUAAAAC
Molecule: long non-coding RNA, 670 nt
Organism: Priapulus caudatus
Lineage: Eukaryota; Metazoa; Priapulida; Priapulimorpha; Priapulimorphida; Priapulidae
Exons: 3
Source: RefSeq, a predicted model, not a curated record